AUUGAACGCUGGCGGCAGGCCUAACACAUGCAAGUCGAACGGUAACAGGAAGAAGCUUGCUUCUUUGCUGACGAGUGGCGGACGGGUGAGUAAUGUCUGGGAAACUGCCUGAUGGAGGGGGAUAACUACUGGAAACGGUAGCUAAUACCGCAUAACGUCGCAAGACCAAAGAGGGGGACCUUCGGGCCUCUUGCCAUCGGAUGUGCCCAGAUGGGAUUAGCUAGUAGGUGGGGUAACGGCUCACCUAGGCGACGAUCCCCAGCUGGUCUGAGAGGAUGACCAGCCACACUGGAACUGAGACACGGUCCAGACUCCUACGGGAGGCAGCAGUGGGGAAUAUUGCACAAUGGGCGCAAGCCUGAUGCAGCCAUGCCGCGUGUAUGAAGAAGGCCUUCGGGUUGUAAAGUACUUUCAGCGGGGAGGAAGGGAGUAAAGUUAAUACCUUUGCUCAUUGACGUUACCCGAAGAAGAAGCACCGGCUAACUCCGUG
This 490-nucleotide ribosomal RNA is filed under the name uncultured bacterium. RNAcentral describes it as "partial 16S ribosomal RNA". It matches the Rfam family "Bacterial small subunit ribosomal RNA", at positions 30 to 507 of the family's 1533-position model. The record is from RNAcentral.